Molecule: ribosomal RNA, 1035 nt
Filed under: marine sediment metagenome
Description: bacterial SSU rRNA
Rfam family: Bacterial small subunit ribosomal RNA
Source: RNAcentral
AGAGUUUGAUCCUGGCUCAGAACGAACACUGGCGGCGUGGAUUAGGCAUGCAAGUCGAGCGGGAUUCACUUUGUUCAAUUCUUCGGAAAAGAACUUAGUGAUGAGAGCGGCGAACGGGUGAGUAAUAUAUGGGUAAUUUGCCUCUUUGUUCGGGAUAGCCAUCGGAAACGAUGAUUAAUACCGAAUGUGUUCAGGAACUUCAUGGUUCCUUCUAUAAAGGCGGGGAAGCUUCGGCUCCUGUCGCAAAGAGAUAAGCCCAUUUCCUAUCAGCUAGUUGGUGAGGUAAUGGCUCACCAAGGCUUACGGGUAGCUGGUCUGAGAGGAUGGUCAGCCACACUGGGACUGAGACACUGCCCAGACUCCUACGGGAGGCUGCAGUCGAGAAUCAUUGUCAAUGCACGAAAGUGUGAACAUGCGACGCCGCGUGGAGGAAGACGGCCUUUGGGUUGUAAACUCCUGUCAGCAGGGAGUAAAAAUAGAUCACUUAAUACGUGUUUUAUUUGAUAGUACCUGCAGAGGAAGUCACGGCUAACUCUGUGCCAGCAGCCGCGGUAAUACAGAGGUGGCGAACGUUGUUCGGAUUUACUGGGCGUAAAGGGUCCGCAGGCGGUCUUGUGUGUCAGAUGUGAAAGCCCACGGCUUAACCGUGGAAAUGCAUUUGAAACUGCAAGACUAGAGUACUGGAGGGGAGAAGGGAACACUUGGUGUAGCGGUGAAAUGCGUAGAUAUCAAGUGGAACACCGGCGGCGAAGGCGCUUCUCUGGACAGAUACUGACGCUCAUGGACGAAAGUUAGGGUAGCGAAAGGGAUUAGAUACCCCUGUAGUCCUAACCGUAAACGGUGUGCACUAGACGUGGGUGGAUUUACCCCCAUCCGUGUCUGAGCUAACGCAUUAAGUGCACCGCCUGGGGAGUACGGUCGCAAGAUUAAAACUCAAAGGAAUUGACGGGGACCCGCACAAGCGGUGGAGCAUGUGGCUUAAUUCGAUGCAACGCGAAGAACCUUACCUGGACUUGACAUGUAACUGCAUACGAC